AUUGACCUACGGGGGGCAGCAGUGAGGGAUAUUGGUCAAUGGGGGAAACCCUGAACCAGCAACGCCGCGUGAAGGAAGACGGUUUUCGGAUUGUAAACUUCUGUUCUUAGUGAAGAAAAAUGACGGUAGCUAAGGAGCAAGCCACGGCUAACUACGUGCCAGCAGCCGCGGUAAUACGUAGGUGGCAAGCGUUGUCCGGAAUUACUGGGUGUAAAGGGAGCGCAGGCGGGAAGCCAAGUCAGCUGUGAAAACUACGGGCUUAACUUGUAGACUGCAGUUGAAACUGGUUUUCUUGAGUGAAGUAG
Molecule: ribosomal RNA, 305 nt
Filed under: uncultured bacterium
Lineage: Bacteria
Description: bacterial SSU rRNA
Rfam family: Bacterial small subunit ribosomal RNA
Source: RNAcentral